Molecule: long non-coding RNA, 364 nt
Organism: Helianthus annuus (common sunflower)
Lineage: Eukaryota; Viridiplantae; Streptophyta; Magnoliopsida; Asterales; Asteraceae
Exons: 2
Source: RefSeq, a predicted model, not a curated record
UUGAUUGACUCGGUUGUUAAAUUUGUGACGAUGCGUCGGACAAACAACAUUGGGAAAAUAUACAGCCUUGAGCCUUGAUGACCAAUGUAUAUCUCUAUUUGAGGAAUUCUCCAAAGAUCCAGAGCCGAUUGUUUCAUAGAGCUGUGAAGUUGCGUUAAACAUACUGGAUUUUGAAUGAUCCGACAAACCAUUCGAGGUACUUGGAAGAUUAAGUCUCUUAUCUGGGUGGUUGUUACAGGUUUAGGAUGUUAAAUGAUUUUGGAUGUACUCUGCGAUGUCGAUGAUGCAGAGAUGUUGGUGAAGCUCAGGUUAACAACUUCAUGUGUAUAUUUUAAUGAAUAAAGUUUUUGUUGUUUAUAUUUUC